GGUUAAGCGACUAAGCGUACACGGUGGAUGCCCUGGCAGUCAGAGGCGAUGAAGGACGUGCUAAUCUGCGAUAAGCGUCGGUAAGGUGAUAUGAACCGUUAUAACCGGCGAUUUCCGAAUGGGGAAACCCAGUGUGAUUCGUCACACUAUCAUUAACUGAAUCCAUAGGUUAAUGAGGCGAACCGGGGAACUGAAACAUCUAAGUACCCCGAGGAAAAGAAAUCAACCGAGAUUCCCCAGUAGCGGCGAGCGAACGGGGAGCAGCCCAGAGCCUGAAUCAGUGUGUGUGUUAGUGGAAGCGUCUGGAAAGGCGUGCGAUACAGGGUGACAGCCCCGUACACAAAAAUGCACAUAUUGUGAGCUCGAUGAGUAGGGCGGGACACGUGGUAUCCUGUCUGAAUAUGGGGACCAUCCUCCAAGGCUAAAUACUCCUGACUGACCGAUAGUGAACCAGUACCGUGAGGGAAAGGCGAAAAGAACCCCGGCGAGGGAGUGAAAAAGAACCUGAAACCGUGUACGUACAAGCAGUGGGAGCACGCUUAGGCGUGUGACUGCGUACCUUUUGUAUAAUGGGUCAGCGACUUAUAUUCUGUAGCAAGGUUAACCGAAUAGGGGAGCCGAAGGGAAACCGAGUCUUAACUGGGCGUUAAGUUGCAGGGUAUAGACCCGAAACCCGGUGAUCUAGCCAUGGGCAGGUUGAAGGUUGGGUAACACUAACUGGAGGACCGAACCGACUAAUGUUGAAAAAUUAGCGGAUGACUUGUGGCUGGGGGUGAAAGGCCAAUCAAACCGGGAGAUAGCUGGUUCUCCCCGAAAGCUAUUUAGGUAGCGCCUCGUGAAUUCAUCUCCGGGGGUAGAGCACUGUUUCGGCAAGGGGGUCAUCCCGACUUACCAACCCGAUGCAAACUGCGAAUACCGGAGAAUGUUAUCACGGGAGACACACGGCGGGUGCUAACGUCCGUCGUGAAGAGGGAAACAACCCAGACCGCCAGCUAAGGUCCCAAAGUCAUGGUUAAGUGGGAAACGAUGUGGGAAGGCCCAGACAGCCAGGAUGUUGGCUUAGAAGCAGCCAUCAUUUAAAGAAAGCGUAAUAGCUCACUGGUCGAGUCGGCCUGCGCGGAAGAUGUAACGGGGCUAAACCAUGCACCGAAGCUGCGGCAGCGACGCUGAUGCGUUGUUGGGUAGGGGAGCGUUCUGUAAGCCUGCGAAGGUGUGCUGUGAGGCAUGCUGGAGGUAUCAGAAGUGCGAAUGCUGACAUAAGUAACGAUAAAGCGGGUGAAAAGCCCGCUCGCCGGAAGACCAAGGGUUCCUGUCCAACGUUAAUCGGGGCAGGGUGAGUCGACCCCUAAGGCGAGGCCGAAAGGCGUAGUCGAUGGGAAACAGGUUAAUAUUCCUGUACUUGGUGUUACUGCGAAGGGGGGACGGAGAAGGCUAUGUUGGCCGGGCGACGGUUGUCCCGGUUUAAGCGUGUAGGCUGGUUUUCCAGGCAAAUCCGGAAAAUCAAGGCUGAGGCGUGAUGACGAGGCACUACGGUGCUGAAGCAACAAAUGCCCUGCUUCCAGGAAAAGCCUCUAAGCAUCAGGUAACAUCAAAUCGUACCCCAAACCGACACAGGUGGUCAGGUAGAGAAUACCAAGGCGCUUGAGAGAACUCGGGUGAAGGAACUAGGCAAAAUGGUGCCGUAACUUCGGGAGAAGGCACGCUGAUAUGUAGGUGAAGUCCCUCGCGGAUGGAGCUGAAAUCAGUCGAAGAUACCAGCUGGCUGCAACUGUUUAUUAAAAACACAGCACUGUGCAAACACGAAAGUGGACGUAUACGGUGUGACGCCUGCCCGGUGCCGGAAGGUUAAUUGAUGGGGUUAGCGCAAGCGAAGCUCUUGAUCGAAGCCCCGGUAAACGGCGGCCGUAACUAUAACGGUCCUAAGGUAGCGAAAUUCCUUGUCGGGUAAGUUCCGACCUGCACGAAUGGCGUAAUGAUGGCCAGGCUGUCUCCACCCGAGACUCAGUGAAAUUGAACUCGCUGUGAAGAUGCAGUGUACCCGCGGCAAGACGGAAAGACCCCGUGAACCUUUACUAUAGCUUGACACUGAACAUUGAGCCUUGAUGUGUAGGAUAGGUGGGAGGCUUUGAAGUGUGGACGCCAGUCUGCAUGGAGCCGACCUUGAAAUACCACCCUUUAAUGUUUGAUGUUCUAACGUUGACCCGUAAUCCGGGUUGCGGACAGUGUCUGGUGGGUAGUUUGACUGGGGCGGUCUCCUCCUAAAGAGUAACGGAGGAGCACGAAGGUUGGCUAAUCCUGGUCGGACAUCAGGAGGUUAGUGCAAUGGCAUAAGCCAGCUUGACUGCGAGCGUGACGGCGCGAGCAGGUGCGAAAGCAGGUCAUAGUGAUCCGGUGGUUCUGAAUGGAAGGGCCAUCGCUCAACGGAUAAAAGGUACUCCGGGGAUAACAGGCUGAUACCGCCCAAGAGUUCAUAUCGACGGCGGUGUUUGGCACCUCGAUGUCGGCUCAUCACAUCCUGGGGCUGAAGUAGGUCCCAAGGGUAUGGCUGUUCGCCAUUUAAAGUGGUACGCGAGCUGGGUUUAGAACGUCGUGAGACAGUUCGGUCCCUAUCUGCCGUGGGCGCUGGAGAACAUUUAAAGUGGUACGCGAGCUGGGUUUAGAACGUCGUGAGACAGUUCGGUCCCUAUCUCGCCGUGGGCGCUGGAGAUGAGGGGGGCUGCUCCUAGUACGAGAGGACCGGAGUGGACGCAUCACUGGUGUUCGGGUUGUCAUGCCAAUGGCACUGCCCGGUAGCUAAAUGCGGAAGAGAUAAGUGCUGAAAGCAUCUAAGCACGAAACUUGCCCCGAGAUGAGUUCUCCCUGACUCCUUGAGAGUCCUGAAGGAACGUUGAAGACGACGACGUUGAUAGGCCGGGUGUGUAAGCGCAGCGAUGCGUUGAGCUAACCGGUACUAAUGAACCGUGAGGCUUAACCUU
RNAcentral lists this ribosomal RNA (2975 nucleotides) under Escherichia coli. RNAcentral's name for it is "23S ribosomal RNA". It matches the Rfam family "Bacterial large subunit ribosomal RNA". The record is from RNAcentral. Lineage: Bacteria; Pseudomonadati; Pseudomonadota; Gammaproteobacteria; Enterobacterales; Enterobacteriaceae.